RNAcentral lists this ribosomal RNA (394 nucleotides) under uncultured bacterium. RNAcentral describes it as "bacterial SSU rRNA". It matches the Rfam family "Bacterial small subunit ribosomal RNA", at positions 29 to 424 of the family's 1533-position model. The record is from RNAcentral.
AUUGAACGCUGGCGGCGUGCCUAACACAUGCAAGUCGAGCGGUAACAGGUGUAGCAAUACAUGCUGACGAGCGGCGAACGGGUGAGUAAUGCUUCGGAAUCUACCCAAUGGUGGGGAAUAACCAGCCGAAAGGUUGGCUAAUACCGCAUACGUCCCACGGGAGAAAGCAGGGGAUCGCAAGACCUUGCGCCAAUGGAUGAGCCGAAGUCGGAUUAGCUAGUUGGUAGGGAACGGCCUACCAAGGCGACGAUCCGUAGCUGGUCUGAGAGGACGACCAGCCACACUGGGACUGAGACACGGCCCAGACUCCUACGGGAGCAGCAGUGGGGAAUAUUGGACAAUGGGGGAAACCCUGAUCCAGCGACGCCGCGUGUGUGAAGAAGGCCUGCGGGUU